Molecule: non-coding RNA, 919 nt
Organism: Oryzias latipes (Japanese medaka)
Lineage: Eukaryota; Metazoa; Chordata; Actinopteri; Beloniformes; Adrianichthyidae
Source: RefSeq, a predicted model, not a curated record
ACCCAGUGACUUCCAUUCACGGACGGUCUCUUUUUUUUAGCGGAGGCAUAAACUGUGAUUUACGACCACCUGCUUCGCUCACACCUGAUCGUAAUCCCACAUUAACUUUAUCAAAUUAUUUUCUUAUUUUUCCUAAAUUGAUUUCAAAGAGUUUUUCUUUUCUAUUCUUCUUCGUGCAUCUAUUUACUGAAGUUUUGCAGUUUUUCCAUUUGGUUUGAAUCUGCACAAACUUUUUGAAACAAGUUUAAGGGUACCACUCCCCUGACAACAACCACACUUAAAAAAAAACUAGUCUGACUGGUUUACAUAUAAUAGGCGACAAACAAAACAAUUUGGGUGGGUUCUGAGAAAGAAGGUGUGUCGGAGGAUUUAAAAGGAUCCAGUCUGCAUUUCCUCCUCACUUCCAUUUUGUCCAUCUCCUUUGGUCAAGCAAGUCCCGCAAACUUUCGACACCAUGACUACAAUCUUUGAGGCAAUCGCAAUUCUGAGGAAAGUUUUUGACAAGUAUGCUGGGAAAGAAGGAGAUGCAAAAACUCUGACAAAGAAGGAACUCACAGAUCUGCUCAAAGAGCAGCUUGGAGGGGCUCCUCCAAAACAAGCAGAAAUGGACAAGUUCUUCAAAAUGCUGGAUGAGGAUGGCGAUGGCGUUGUCGAUUUCAACGAGUAUGUGGUCCUAUGCGCAAGCUUGGCUAUGAUGUUGGCCCCCUAAAGGAAAGAACAGUCUUUGUCCUGGUUUACUUCACUUAAAAUAAUGUUUAAAAAAAAAAGGUAACAACCAUGCACUACUGUGGAAACUCUUGAGAAAAUGUGCUUUUUUUUGUUUUUUUUCCAUGAAACCUGACCUUGUUUGAAAUGUAAUUGCAUGCAAUUUGACUGUUUGGAUUUCAAGAAAAUGCAAAUAAAAAUCUCUUUCUCUAAA